AGCUCUCAGAAUGCAUGGAAGUGUUGCUGCGGUUAAAAGGCUCGUAGUCGGAUUGGACGGGCGGCGCCCUCCCGCUCCGGGGGGGCGCGCCCGGCGGGUGUGGCUGUGGCUCGGCCACGAGUGGGCUGGGCCCGGGCGACACCCCAGCACCUUGAAGAAAUCGGAGUGCUCAAGACAGGCGGCUGGCCUGGACGAUGGCGCAUGGAAUGGCAGAAGAGGGUCUCGGUCCGGUUCUGCGGGUUUGAGGACAGAGACAAUGAUAAAUAGAGGCAGACGGGGGCAUCGGUACUUCUGCGUGAGAGGUGAAAUUCUUGGACCGCAGGAAGACGAGCGACAGCGAAGGCAGUUGCCAAGCCUGUGUUCA
RNAcentral lists this ribosomal RNA (364 nucleotides) under uncultured eukaryote. Its description in RNAcentral is "SSU rRNA". It matches the Rfam family "Eukaryotic small subunit ribosomal RNA", at positions 587 to 972 of the family's 1831-position model. The record is from RNAcentral.